RNAcentral lists this ribosomal RNA (208 nucleotides) under uncultured bacterium. Its description in RNAcentral is "partial 16S ribosomal RNA". It matches the Rfam family "Bacterial small subunit ribosomal RNA", at positions 568 to 775 of the family's 1533-position model. The record is from RNAcentral.
AGCGUAGACGGAUAGGCAAGUCUGGAGUGAAAGCCCGGGGCUCAACCCCGGGACUGCUUUGGAAACUGUUUAUCUAGAGUGCUGGAGAGGCAAGUGGAAUUCCUAGUGUAGCGGUGAAAUGCGUAGAUAUUAGGAGGAACACCAGUGGCGAAGGCGGCUUGCUGGACAGUAACUGACGUUGAGGCUCGAAAGCGUGGGGAGCAAACAG